This 253-nucleotide ribosomal RNA is filed under the name uncultured bacterium. Its description in RNAcentral is "partial 16S ribosomal RNA". It matches the Rfam family "Bacterial small subunit ribosomal RNA", at positions 524 to 776 of the family's 1533-position model. The record is from RNAcentral.
UACAGAGGUCUCAAGCGUUGUUCGGAUUCAUUGGGCGUAAAGGUUGCGUAGGCGGCGCGGUAAGUCGGGUGUGAAAUCUCGGAGCUUAACUCCGAAACUGCAUUCGAUACUGCCGUGCUUGAGGACUGGAGAGGAGACUGGAAUUUACGGUGUAGCGGUGAAAUGCGUAGAUAUCGUAAGGAAGACCAGUGGCGAAGGCGGGUCUCUGGACAGUUCCUGACGCUGAGGCACGAAGGCCAGGGGAGCAAACGGG